UUCUAUUUUCGGCUCUUUCUAAUUUCUUUAAGUUUGAACUAGCUGCAGUGCCCCAUAACUCGAUGCCAUAUGUCCACGCUGGUUUUAAAAUGCUCUUAUAAAUGAGUAAUUUGUUCUUUAUUGACAAUUUUCAUAAGUUUUGUUUUGCCCACGAUGUGUUCCUUCCACGUUAGUCUGGAAUCCAGGGUCAGACCCAGAUAUUUGGCUGUGAGCUGUUGUGGGAUGGCUGCACCGUUUAGCAUAACCGAUGGGGAUAUUCCUGGUCGUAAGGAGAAGUAUUUUCUGUAUUAAUUGCGCUUUUAUUAGUAGUCGGUCACUCUAUUUUGGCAAGCACGCGGUAUAGAAAGAGUUAGCAAGAUGUACCCUUAUCUGUCGUAUCCAACAGCCAAUCCGCCGGGGUAAGCACCGGCGUACGCCCCGUACCCGGCAUCGUACCAGCAGCCUUAUGCGCCGGGGUACGCCUGUUAUCCUUCUCACCAUCCUGCUCCUGCCCCAGUACCGUACUAUUACCCCUACGGACUCCCGUACCAGCGGUGGGAUGCAGGAUGGUGUAACGGGCGCCGCCGGCGCCCCCACUGCUCAAUACGAGCUCACAGGCGCUAUGGCAACAACAAUGCUGCAGCAGGUCCUGCAGCUGCAGCUGGGCCCCGUAAC
Drosophila subpulchrella is the source of this 654-nucleotide long non-coding RNA. RefSeq lists it as uncharacterized. Lineage: Eukaryota; Metazoa; Arthropoda; Insecta; Diptera; Drosophilidae. The record is from RefSeq and is a predicted model, not a curated record. The transcript is spliced from 3 exons.